This 466-nucleotide ribosomal RNA is filed under the name uncultured Planctomyces sp. Its description in RNAcentral is "bacterial SSU rRNA". It matches the Rfam family "Bacterial small subunit ribosomal RNA", at positions 335 to 797 of the family's 1533-position model. The record is from RNAcentral. Lineage: Bacteria; Pseudomonadati; Planctomycetota; Planctomycetia; Planctomycetales; Planctomycetaceae.
GACCUACGGGUGGCUGCAGUCGAGAAUCUUCGGCAAUGGGCGCAAGCCUGACCGAGCGACGCCGCGUGCGGGAUGAAGGUCUUCGGAUUGUAAACCGCUGUCGGAGGGGAUGAAAUGCAUCAGGGCAAUCCCUGGUGUUUGACAGAGCCUCGGAGGAAGCACGGGCUAAGUUCGUGCCAGCAGCCGCGGUAAUACGAACUGUGCGAACGUUAUUCGGAAUCACUGGGCUUAAAGGGUGCGUAGGCGGCGACACAAGUCAGGUGUGAAAUCCCCCGGCUCAACCGGGGAACAGCGCUUGAAACUAGGUUGCUCGAGUGAGGCAGGGGUGUAUGGAACUUCCGGUGGAGCGGUGAAAUGUGUAGAGAUCGGAAGGAACGCCGGCGGCGAAAGCGGUACACUGGGCCUUGUCUGACGCUGAGGCACGAAAGCUAGGGGAGUGAACGGGAUUAGAUACCCCAGUAGUCGC